CUCUAUAAUGUUCUUGGUAUUAAAAAGAAAAAGCAUAUUUGUCACAGAAAUUUAGUUAACAUCUUAAAACUGAACAUGUAUGUAUGUUGCUUAGAUAAAUGUAAUCACUGUAAACAUCUAUAUGAUCUGGGAUUUUGUUUUUAUUUUGAAAUGGGAGCUUUUUUGUUUACAAGUUCAUUAAAAACUAAAAACUGUUUCUGUAAGGAAAUGAGAUUUUUUUUAAACAACAAAAAAUGCCUUGCUGACUCAAUAUUAAAUAAAAAUCUCCCCAAUUUUUUGAUAGACUAUUUCAAGCCAUUUGUUACAUGGUAUUCCUUUGCAAGUCAAUUUAGGUUUCGUGUUAUAACUUUUCCUCUUUUUUAAAAAAAAUAAAACGAAAAAAGUAAUUCUUUUGUCUGAAGGGGAAAGGCAUUCUUUCAUUUUUUCUUUUUCUUUUUUUUUUUUUUUUAUGACUUGCAGGCACAAUAUCUAGUACUGCAACUGCCAGAACUUGGUAUUGUAGCUGCUGCCCGCUGACUAGCAGCUGGACUGAUUUUGAAUAAAAAUGAAAGCAUUAAAGGGUUUCCCUACAAAACAUUUUUCUUUAAAAUACUUGUGAAGUGGCUAUAAGCAGUUGACUUUCACCCUUGGAGAGCAUCACACUGUGUGAGGUUCAGUGAUUGUUGACCCUCCCCAGCCCCUCCUGCUUCUUUAAGUUAUCGGUGUGCGUGCGCUUCCUCUCAAUCUUCUUUGCACGCUCAUUUCUUUUUCUCUGACCCAUGAGAAAGGAAAACUUACUGAUGAUAAUUUUUAAGUAAUGUAAUUUAUUCAUUUAUAGCAUGUCAGGAUAAAUUAAAAGAACAUUUGUCUGGAAAUGCUGCCGGGAGCCUAUUGUGUAAAUGUUAGGUAUUUUGUAAAAUAACCUUGAAAUUGUAAAUUGACACGUGUUUGGUCAGAUUGUGUCAAGUUUAAUUUGUUUUGUUUUUUCUUUUUUUAUUUGAAAACUACUUUAGCAAUAAUUAAUUCCAUGAUUAUCACAUUCUGCCAUUAAGGGAUAUUAGUACCGUAAUACUGAAGAAAUCUUAUUAAGUCUGAACUUUGGGGGUAGGCAGCUUCUUUGUUUCUUUUCUAUCCACCCUUGUCGGUUGAGGUAUUUGUUUCUUGACUAAUAAACCCUUUGAUACUUUUAGCCAGAAAUCGGUCUCAUAAAGCUAUUUUUGAGUAUAGUUUAUGUAAAAUAAAAAUGUUUAGCUUUGGUAAUAACUUUUCCAAGCUGAACUCCCUCUAGCAAGAUAUUUUUCAGUGCUUUUAUUUACUAUGCACUUAGACUAUGCACUUUUUCUGAAAUAUUUUUGUAACACUUUUUUGUAUUUUUGCCAUUUGAAAAGGUUGUGGUGUAGUUGGUCUGUGAUUAAGUUGCAGAUUUAAAACUGCUGUUAGCUUUGUAAAUCAAAAUAUAGGUGUUUUUUGUCCUGGUAUAUCGUCAUUCCAUCUGCAGCUGGAGCUGGAAUCCCAUUGAUCUUCUAGCUACCAUUCAUUUUCUUCACUGUUCACAAAAGAAGAAUGUGAAAUUCAGUGAAUGCUGUUACUAAUCCUGUUGCGAGAUGAAUCUCAUUUCACCAAAAUUAAAUUAUGUUUUUCCGCUAAAAUGAUGAUACAAGUUGAAGACACAUCACUCUGAAAUGGGAAGACCUCACCACUUAAGGCUCCACAGUGGCUUACUCAGCUGAACUCUAGGCUACUAUUCUUUACUUUGUUCACCCAUUGGGGGGUGCAGUUUUUUUAAAAUGUUGGGAGAUGGCCAUUCUAACUACUGUUGAAUGUCUCUGUUUUGGGAAGGUAUAACAAGAAAUAAAAAAGAAUAUAUAUGAAGGGAGAGACUGGUUAUCUCCUCCCAUAUGGUUGUGCUUAUCCUCUUAUGGCUCACAAAUGGAUAUUUGGAGGUUUGCUUUCACAGUGAUUUCCCAUCAACAACUAUUUUUAUUAAGACUUUUCUUGUUUCUGUUAGUCCUUGCAGUACUCAUAAAUGUUUUAAGCUGAGCAUACUGUACUAGUCAUAAGUUUAAUUUCAUUAUAAUAAAAAUAUCAAACAAAAGGACUUUAGAACCCAAGACAAUGAGCUAGUUUUCCCUGAAGUUUGCUGAACUACUAAGGAAUAUGUUCUUACAACUCUUGACUAGAAUGAGUCAUGGGAAUUCUAAGAAGGGAUGGCCUAGACAUUUUUAGCUCAGUUAAAUUCAGCAGCAUUUAAUGCAGGUGAAUUCCUGGGUCGUUUUCCAGCUAGUCUGAAACAGUUUGGUUCUGACUCAGACCGGUAUAAAGCAUUAUUUUAGGUUUUAUCUGCCAGUUUUUAAGCAGUUAAAACCAUUUAAUCAAGAUGUGAGGACAUCUGUGAAGUAUAGUAAAGAAGUGUUGUCCCAGGUGUGCGCUGUCUUAGUGAGACUUUGUGAUACUAUACUUUAAAUGCAUUACCAUUGCUUACAUUUUUGGGGGGGGUUCCUCCUCAAAACUUUCACGUCUAUUGUAAUAUUCUUAAUGUCAAUCUUUUUUUUUUUUUUUAGCAGUGUAUGUUUGAAACAGCCAAAGAUUGGAAUGAACCAAGUGUAAAUUAAUCUAAGCAGCCCAUGCAGUUUGUGUUGAAUCAUCAAACAGUAUAUUGUUGAAGUGAAAUUAUUUGUUUUCUGAAAUGACUUGUUAGACCAGUUUUGAGGACAUACUCAGAGUAAUAAUGAUUCCUGGGAUGGAGAAAUACGAGAUGAACCUGGAACAUUCUAUUAUGGUGCCACAAAGAAAAUCUCAAAAAAAAAAAAAAA
Molecule: RNA transcript, 2792 nt
Organism: Piliocolobus tephrosceles (Ugandan red Colobus)
Lineage: Eukaryota; Metazoa; Chordata; Mammalia; Primates; Cercopithecidae
Exons: 1
Source: RefSeq, a predicted model, not a curated record